RNAcentral lists this ribosomal RNA (399 nucleotides) under uncultured Desulfobacteraceae bacterium. Its description in RNAcentral is "bacterial SSU rRNA". It matches the Rfam family "Bacterial small subunit ribosomal RNA", at positions 397 to 787 of the family's 1533-position model. The record is from RNAcentral. Lineage: Bacteria; Pseudomonadati; Thermodesulfobacteriota; Desulfobacteria; Desulfobacterales; Desulfobacteraceae.
CCGCGUGAGUGAUGAAGGCUUUCGGGUCGUAAAGCUCUGUCAAGUGGGAAGAACCCACAUGGUGAUAAUACCACCAUGUGCUGACGGUACCACUGAAGGAAGCACCGGCUAACUCCGUGCCAGCAGCCGCGGUAAUACGGGGGGUGCAAGCGUUAUUCGGAAUUACUGGGCGUAAAGAGCGCGUAGGCGGUCUCUUAAGUCAGCUGUGAAAGCCCGGGGCUCAACCCCGGAAGUGCACUUGAAACUAAGGGACUUGAGUAUGGGAGAGGGAAGUGGAAUUCCUGGUGUAGCGGUGAAAUGCGUAGAUAUCAGGAGGAACAUCGGUGGCGAAGGCGACUUCCUGGACCAAUACUGACGCUGAGGCGCGAAGGCGUGGGGAGCAAACAGGAUUAGAUACCC